Molecule: long non-coding RNA, 1274 nt
Organism: Apis dorsata (giant honeybee)
Lineage: Eukaryota; Metazoa; Arthropoda; Insecta; Hymenoptera; Apidae
Exons: 3
Source: RefSeq, a predicted model, not a curated record
AUUGUAAAUAAUAUAUCUUAUUAAAAUCAGAAUAUGAAGGAUAAUCAGGUAAUUUUCCAGCAGUAUAUCAUUACAUCGAUAAGUAUCGAAUAUCGUGUUUAUUCCUGUUUUCGCGAGUUUUAUCCCGAUUAUCGCAGAAAAUUCCGCUUUCGAGCAUUGCGAGCAGCGCAUGGACAACCUUCGUCGAGUAACAAAGGAAAGAUAACGAAUAAUAGCGGUAAUACAUUGUAAACGAGGAUUGGAAGAACGUUCAAUCGUUCAUUAACGACGAGAGACUCUUGGUUUUGACUGAGGAAAAAAAGAAAAAAAAAAAAAGAAGAAGAACGAUUCUACAGCAUUGUGGUCCAUUGUAACGUGUAAGUCAGGUGCGACGUCUAUGUGUGCGCUAGAUGUCCUUGACAUCCGCGGCCUUGUCAAGAAUUUUUCCGCAUUCGAUUGUUGUUCCAAGCACGCUCCACGAACUGCAAAUCGCGAGAAGAAGGGGGGGGGGGGAGUUAUACGCGGAACAGAGAUAGAGAGAUGGAAGGCGGAAGGCUGGAAGAGGAUGAGGAGAUCGGUUGUUGAAUGGCGGACGCGACUUCGACCUUCGUCGAGAACUACACGGUAGAAAAUAAAGCAGAUAGAACGUAGAAAAGGCUCGUGAAUAUCGGACACGGAUGGACAAGUAUCGCGUGUAAUCGGACGGCCAUUAAUAUCAGUCCGCCUCGUUGAUAUAAUUUGAUCGGUCGGCGGUCACCGUUUAUCCCGGAAAUGGCUUUCACUUUCUCCCCCACUAGAGGUGGUAACUUUCACUAACGAGGCCUCCGCGAAAACUGGCUCGUGCGCGUACGUAUAGACGAUCGGUGGAGAGGAGAAGAGGGAAAAGAGAGUAUGUGUAUGUGUGUGUGAGAGAGAGAGAAAAGGAAAAAGAAGAGGAAGAAAGAAUCGGGUUUCUGGGUCGGUAAAGGCGAACAAAGGCGAUCCUCCUUGUUGUCCCUUCGUCCUCGCUCGCACGGCCUCGUGAAUUUUUGUCGUUCGAUGGAUGGAAGGAAGGAAGGAAGGAAGGAAGGAAGGAAGAAUGGGAUAUUUCGACGAUCGAAAUUUCCCUUCCACUCGGAUGGGAUGGAUGACAUUGAGAACGAUUAGUGUACGAUGUCGUGAAGAAUACCCGUUGUAUUAUACCUGGAAUGUUUGAAGAUAUAAGCGUUUGAAGCGACCGCUAAAUGUGAAAUUUCAUUGGGAUCAAAAAGUACAACUGAAGUUGCACUAUGAUUUUCAGUUCGAGGAAAUUCAAG